Sarcophilus harrisii (Tasmanian devil) is the source of this 904-nucleotide long non-coding RNA. RefSeq lists it as uncharacterized. The transcript has 3 exons. The record is from RefSeq and is a predicted model, not a curated record. Lineage: Eukaryota; Metazoa; Chordata; Mammalia; Dasyuromorphia; Dasyuridae.
CACCCAGCACCAAUCUCAACCUUCUUCUCAGAAAAGGGUGAAGGGGCCAGCAUCCCUUAAUUUAUAUCCAUCUCUUAUCAGUUUCUUCCCUGAAUAAGUGGUUCAGGCCAUUCACCUUUAGCCCUUUAAAUCUUGAUCUACUUGUCUCAGAAUGACUUCUGGAUACAAUCUUAAGGAUAUGGGUGAAGGUAAUCCCAGAGGUCUUCUUCGGAGGGGCAAACCAUUGUCUGCUGAAGCAGCUCAGUGCUCCUAUGGAAAGCACUCAUUGCGAAGAGCUUUUUGCUUAUACCAAGCCUAAAUUUAUCUUUUUUGUGUGUUUCACCUAUUACUUCUAGUUAUUUUCUCUGGUAACAAGCAACACAAGAUAUGGCUAACAAAUCAUUAUGUAUGGCUGGCUCCAUACCAUGCUGCACAUCCAACCCAGCUACAUGAAACCAGGGCUUAUCUUCUGAUCUUGCUAUUUGCUCUUCCUUUGACUCCAUCUCCUCUCCUUUAGAGAAUAUGUUCCACUUGUCCACCAUUCCAGGGGAGUUAAUUUAUCCUUCUUUGGAACCAUGCCUUCAGGUUGAAUGGUAAUGACUGUUAAAUGAACAUAUUCAUCCGUCAAAUCCGCCCUCAAAGUAAAUAGAAACAUUUAAACAAAACAAGUCAACACAUCAAUCAUAUUUAGCAACAUGCAAAAUAUUCACCCUCUACUACCUUCCCAAAGAGAAAGAGAAGUUGCUCCCUUAUCAGUACUUUGGAAUCUAGAUUGCUCAAGGCCCUAAUCAGACAGUGAUGGCUGCUAGUGUAUUUCUUUUUAUUUCCAUUAUUGAAGUGAUUUUGUAUGUUUUUCUCUUGUUUCUGGUUUCUUUACCUUGCAUCAAUAUAUGCAAGUCUUGCUAGGAUUCUCUGAAUAAAAUCU